UCCUCCAUCUCACCCGACUACAUUUCCCACCUACGGCAUUCUCCCCUUCCUUCCUUCCUUUGUGCCUGUCUCCUACUUUCUUUCAGGAAAGUGCCUUUCAGGAGUGCCUUUCCCUGGUGCCCAGCUUGCAUAGGUUCCCCAUGUUAAGACACUCCAUCCUAAGAGUUACAUGAGAGAGAACAUGCAGUUUGUCCCUUUGGGGCCUCGGUUACCUCAGAACAAAAGAGAAGAAAGGGGAAUUGGGGAAGACUUGUGUGAGAGGGUUCUGGGAAGAGAGGAAGGGCCAAUGUUGGGAUGUAAAGGGAAUAAAUUAAUUUUAAAAAAAGAAUUUGAAGCAGGGGGCUGGAGAAAUGGCUUAGCAGUUUAGAGCAUGUGUUGUCCUUGUAGAGGCCCCAGAUUCAAUUCCCAGCAUCCAUACAGUGGCUCACAGCAAUCUGUAAUUCCAGUUCCAGAGGAGGCAAUACCACCUUCUAACCUCCUUUGGCCUUGGUAUCCAUGCAUAUAAGCAGGCACAACACUUGUACUCAUAAAAAUAAAUCUUUUAAAAAACGUAAUUUGGGGGCCAGAGAGAAGGAUCAGCAGUUAAGAGCACUGGCUGUUGGGCUGGAGAGAUGGCUCAGUGGUUAAGAGCACCGGCUGCUCUUCCAGAGGUCACCCACGUGGCAGCUCAUAACUGUGUGUAAUGCCAGUUACAGCCCACAUGCAAGCAAAACAAUGCAUGUAAAAUAAGUAUAAAUCAUUAAAAGAUAAACAAUUUGGAGAUUGUAGAAACGGCUCAGCAAUU
This 784-nucleotide long non-coding RNA is filed under the name Rattus norvegicus (Norway rat). RNAcentral describes it as "long non-coding RNA NONRATT009562". Lineage: Eukaryota; Metazoa; Chordata; Mammalia; Rodentia; Muridae. The record is from RNAcentral.